This 468-nucleotide ribosomal RNA is filed under the name uncultured bacterium. RNAcentral describes it as "partial 16S ribosomal RNA". It matches the Rfam family "Bacterial small subunit ribosomal RNA", at positions 28 to 507 of the family's 1533-position model. The record is from RNAcentral.
GACGAACGCUGGCGGCGUGCUUAACACAUGCAAGUCGAACGGAAAGGCCCUGCUUUUGUGGGGUGCUCGAGUGGCGAACGGGUGAGUAACACGUGAGUAACCUGCCCUUGACUUUGGGAUAACUUCAGGAAACUGGGGCUAAUACCGGAUAGGAGCUCCUGCUGCAUGGUGGGGGUUGGAAAGUUUCGGCGGUUGGGGAUGGACUCGCGGCUUAUCAGCUUGUUGGUGGGGUAGUGGCUUACCAAGGCUUUGACGGGUAGCCGGCCUGAGAGGGUGACCGGCGACAUUGGGACUGAGAUACGGCCCAGACUCCUACGGGAGGCAGCAGUGGGGAAUAUUGCACAAUGGGCGGAAGCCUGAUGCAGCAACGCCGCGUGCGGGAUGACGGCCUUCGGGUUGUAAACCGCUUUCGCCUGUGACGAAGCGGGAGUGACGGUAAUGGGUAAAGAAGCACCGGCUAACUACGUG